GCCGGAGUGGCGGAAUUGGUAGACGCGCACGACUCAAAAUCGUGUGACAGCAAUGUUGUGGGGGUUCGAUUCCCUCCUUCGGUA
Molecule: transfer RNA, 84 nt
Filed under: Candidatus Shapirobacteria bacterium
Lineage: Bacteria; Candidatus Shapironibacteriota
Description: tRNA-Leu
Rfam family: tRNA
About the family: Transfer RNA (tRNA) molecules are approximately 80 nucleotides in length.
Source: RNAcentral